This 1520-nucleotide ribosomal RNA is filed under the name Microbacterium arborescens. Its description in RNAcentral is "bacterial SSU rRNA". It matches the Rfam family "Bacterial small subunit ribosomal RNA". The record is from RNAcentral. RNAcentral also lists the same sequence under 8 other names. Lineage: Bacteria; Bacillati; Actinomycetota; Actinomycetes; Micrococcales; Microbacteriaceae.
UUUACGGAGAGUUUGAUCCUGGCUCAGGAUGAACGCUGGCGGCGUGCUUAACACAUGCAAGUCGAACGGUGAAGCAGAGCUUGCUCUGUGGAUCAGUGGCGAACGGGUGAGUAACACGUGAGCAAUCUGCCCCUGACUCUGGGAUAAGCGCUGGAAACGGCGUCUAAUACCGGAUACGAGCUGCGACCGCAUGGUCAGUAGCUGGAAAGAAUUUCGGUCAGGGAUGAGCUCGCGGCCUAUCAGCUUGUUGGUGAGGUAAUGGCUCACCAAGGCGUCGACGGGUAGCCGGCCUGAGAGGGUGACCGGCCACACUGGGACUGAGACACGGCCCAGACUCCUACGGGAGGCAGCAGUGGGGAAUAUUGCACAAUGGGCGAAAGCCUGAUGCAGCAACGCCGCGUGAGGGAUGACGGCCUUCGGGUUGUAAACCUCUUUUAGCAGGGAAGAAGCGAAAGUGACGGUACCUGCAGAAAAAGCGCCGGCUAACUACGUGCCAGCAGCCGCGGUAAUACGUAGGGCGCAAGCGUUAUCCGGAAUUAUUGGGCGUAAAGAGCUCGUAGGCGGUCUGUCGCGUCUGCUGUGAAAACCCGAGGCUCAACCUCGGGCCUGCAGUGGGUACGGGCAGACUAGAGUGCGGUAGGGGAGAUUGGAAUUCCUGGUGUAGCGGUGGAAUGCGCAGAUAUCAGGAGGAACACCGAUGGCGAAGGCAGAUCUCUGGGCCGUAACUGACGCUGAGGAGCGAAAGGGUGGGGAGCAAACAGGCUUAGAUACCCUGGUAGUCCACCCCGUAAACGUUGGGAACUAGUUGUGGGGUCCAUUCCACGGAUUCCGUGACGCAGCUAACGCAUUAAGUUCCCCGCCUGGGGAGUACGGCCGCAAGGCUAAAACUCAAAGGAAUUGACGGGGACCCGCACAAGCGGCGGAGCAUGCGGAUUAAUUCGAUGCAACGCGAAGAACCUUACCAAGGCUUGACAUAUAGAGGAAACGUCUGGAAACAGUCGCCCCGCAAGGUCUCUAUACAGGUGGUGCAUGGUUGUCGUCAGCUCGUGUCGUGAGAUGUUGGGUUAAGUCCCGCAACGAGCGCAACCCUCGUUCUAUGUUGCCAGCACGUAAUGGUGGGAACUCAUGGGAUACUGCCGGGGUCAACUCGGAGGAAGGUGGGGAUGACGUCAAAUCAUCAUGCCCCUUAUGUCUUGGGCUUCACGCAUGCUACAAUGGCCGGUACAAAGGGCUGCAAUACCGUGAGGUGGAGCGAAUCCCAAAAAGCCGGUCCCAGUUCGGAUUGAGGUCUGCAACUCGACCUCAUGAAGUCGGAGUCGCUAGUAAUCGCAGAUCAGCAACGCUGCGGUGAAUACGUUCCCGGGUCUUGUACACACCGCCCGUCAAGUCAUGAAAGUCGGUAACACCUGAAGCCGGUGGCCCAACCCUUGUGGAGGGAGCCGUCGAAGGUGGGAUCGGUAAUUAGGACUAAGUCGUAACAAGGUAGCCGUACCGGAAGGUGCGGCUGGAUCACCUCCUUU